AUUGAACGCUGGCGGCAUGCUUUACACAUGCAAGUCGGACGGCAGCGGGGGUGCUUGCACCUGCCGGCGAGUGGCGAACGGGUGAGUAACAUAUUGGAAUGUACCGAGUAGUGGGGGAUAACCAGUCGAAAGAUUGGCUAAUACCGCAUACGUCCUGAGGGGGAAAGCAGGGGAUCUUCGGACCUUGCGCUAUUUGAGCAGCCAAUAUCUGAUUAGCUAGUUGGUGGGGUAAAGGCCCACCAAGGCGACGAUCAGUAGCGGGUCUGAGAGGAUGAUCCGCCACACUGGGACUGAGACACGGCCCAGACUCCUACGGGAGGCAGCAGUGGGGAAUUUUGGACAAUGGGGGCAACCCUGAUCCAGCCAUGCCGCGUGUCUGAAUGAGGCCUUCGGGUUGUAAAGGACUUUUGUUAGGGAAGAAAAGGGAAGUGUUAAUACCACUUUUUGCUGACGGUACCUAAAGAAUAAGCACCGGCUAACUACGUGCCAGCAGCCGCGGUAAUACGUAGGGUGCGAGCGUUUAUCGGAAUUACUGGGCGUAAAGCGAGCGCAGACGGUUACUUAAGUGGGAUGUGAAAUCCCCGGGGCUCAACCUGGUAACUGCGUUCUGAACUGGGUUAGCUUGAGUAUGUCAGAGGUGGGUUGAAUUCUGCGUUUUGCAGUGAAAUGUGUAUAGAUGUGGAGUAUUACCGAUGGUGUAGGCUUCCCCCUUGUGAUGUGUUUGACGUUAUGGUUCGAAACGUUGUGUUGUUUUCAUUGAUUAUAUACCCUGGUUGUUCUGAGGGUGGAUUUUCCUGUUGUAGUGUCAUGGUUUGUGUGUGCCGUCGACUCGUGGGGUGUGUAAAAUAAAAAUAUUUGUUCUCUUAUUGAUGUGUAUUUGCUCUUGUUUGUCUCUUUCCCCCCCUCCUUUUCUUGUGUUGUUUGCUGUGUGUUCGUGUGUUUUUAGUGUUGCUGUCCUGUUGUGUGUCUUCCUGUGCUUUGUGUGUGUUUUUCUUUUUUGAUUUUUCUCUAUUGCUAGUGUGUGUCUUAGCUUUUGCUAGUAGACCCUGUAUGAUAUAUACUAGUGAGUUCUUGUUUUGUCUCUUUGUGCUGUUAGAUCUGCUUUCGUUUUUGUUGUUCUGUAGCCUCUGUGUGCUAUAGUUGCUGCU
This 1148-nucleotide ribosomal RNA is filed under the name uncultured Mogibacterium sp. RNAcentral describes it as "bacterial SSU rRNA". The stretch from base 1 to 771 matches the Rfam family "Bacterial small subunit ribosomal RNA". Lineage: Bacteria; Bacillati; Bacillota; Clostridia; Peptostreptococcales; Anaerovoracaceae. The record is from RNAcentral.